Molecule: non-coding RNA, 85 nt
Filed under: Massilibacterium senegalense
Lineage: Bacteria; Bacillati; Bacillota; Bacilli; Caryophanales; Bacillaceae
Description: TPP riboswitch (THI element)
Rfam family: TPP riboswitch aptamer (THI element)
About the family: Vitamin B(1) in its active form thiamin pyrophosphate (TPP) is an essential coenzyme that is synthesised by coupling of pyrimidine and thiazole moieties in bacteria.
Source: RNAcentral
GACUAGGGGUGCCAAUAUGGCUGAGAGAGGGAAACUUCAACUCUAUGAACCUGAACUGGUUAACACCAGCGUAGGGAAGUCGACU